RNAcentral lists this ribosomal RNA (684 nucleotides) under Candidatus Nanopelagicus sp. RNAcentral's name for it is "bacterial SSU rRNA". It matches the Rfam family "Bacterial small subunit ribosomal RNA", at positions 28 to 726 of the family's 1533-position model. The record is from RNAcentral. Lineage: Bacteria; Bacillati; Actinomycetota; Actinomycetes; Candidatus Nanopelagicales; Candidatus Nanopelagicaceae.
GACGAACGCUGGCGGCGUGCUUAACACAUGCAAGUCGAGCGAUGAAGUUUCUUCGGAAAUGGAUUAGCGGCGAACGGGUGAGGAACACGUGAAGAAUCUGCCCUCCACUUUGGGAUAACACCGGGAAACCGGUGCUAAUACCGAAUAUUGAAACAUAAGUGGCAUCACUGAGUUUUGAAAGAAUUUCGGUGGAGGAUGACUUCGCGGCCUAUCAGCUAGUUGGUGAGGUAAUGGCUCACCAAGGCAACGACGGGUAGCCGGCCUGAGAGGGCGACCGGCCACACUGGGACUGAGACACGGCCCAGACUCCUACGGGAGGCAGCAGUGGGGAAUAUUGGGCAAUGGAGGAAACUCUGACCCAGCGACGCCGCGUGCGGGAUGAAGGCCUUCGGGUUGUAAACCGCUUUCAGUAGGGAAGAAGCGAAAGUGACGGUACCUACAAAAGAAGCACCGGCUAACUAUGUGCCAGCAGCCGCGGUAAUACAUAGGGUGCAAGCGUUGUCCGGAAUUAUUGGGCGUAAAGAGCUCGUAGGUCGUUUGUUACGUCGGAUGUGAAAACCUGAGGCUCAACCUCAGGCCUGCAUUCGAUACGGGCAAACUAGAGUUUGGUAGGGGAGACUGGAAUUCCUGGUGUAGCGGUGGAAUGCGCAGAUAUCAGGAGGAACACCAAUGGCGAAGGCAGGU